Molecule: ribosomal RNA, 465 nt
Filed under: Vreelandella stevensii
Lineage: Bacteria; Pseudomonadati; Pseudomonadota; Gammaproteobacteria; Oceanospirillales; Halomonadaceae
Description: partial 16S ribosomal RNA
Rfam family: Bacterial small subunit ribosomal RNA
Source: RNAcentral
CCUACGGGGGGCAGCAGUGGGGAAUAUUGGACAAUGGGGGCAACCCUGAUCCAGCCAUGCCGCGUGUGUGAAGAAGGCCCUCGGGUUGUAAAGCACUUUCAGUGAGGAAGAACGCCUGGUGGUUAAUACCCAUCAGGAAAGACAUCACUCACAGAAGAAGCACCGGCUAACUCCGUGCCAGCAGCCGCGGUAAUACGGAGGGUGCGAGCGUUAAUCGGAAUUACUGGGCGUAAAGCGCGCGUAGGUGGCUUGAUAAGCCGGUUGUGAAAGCCCCGGGCUCAACCUGGGAACGGCAUCCGGAACUGUCAAGCUAGAGUGCAGGAGAGGAAGGUAGAAUUCCCGGUGUAGCGGUGAAAUGCGUAGAGAUCGGGAGGAAUACCAGUGGCGAAGGCGGCCUUCUGGACUGACACUGACACUGAGGUGCGAAAGCGUGGGUAGCAAACAGGAUUAGAUAUCCCUGUAGUC